Molecule: long non-coding RNA, 2748 nt
Filed under: Prunus persica (peach)
Lineage: Eukaryota; Viridiplantae; Streptophyta; Magnoliopsida; Rosales; Rosaceae
Description: long non-coding RNA (PPER_LNC000108)
Source: RNAcentral
GAACCAUUUGUGUUGAAUCUUUGUAAGUCUAUAUAAACCAUUGUAUUGAUUCUUUGUCAAGCAAGGCACUUCUACAUUUUAAGAAAACAUUUCAUUCUCCGACAGUCUUUCACUCCCUCUCUCUCUCUCUCUUACAUCUCCUCUUACAUUACUGAACUUUCCCAUUUCCAGCAAUCUUUUUUUCUGGUCGAAUUCUAAUCUCAUAAAAGAAAACCAUGAACGUUGAUUCUGGUCAUCGCCCUCAGCAGUGGUCGCAUGGUUUUUGUAAGUGUGGAGGAAGUUUGGGUACAUGUAAGAUAUAAAUUCUCUCUCCAGCCAAAAUUCACUUUGUCUAUUAUAGUUACCUGACAAGUUAAAUUUAUACCAAUUGGUGAAAUUGAUGAAGAGAAUUCAUGCAUUAUUAUUAAUAAUGUGAUAUUUGGUUAUGUGAUUGUAUGUCACUUAAUUUAGUUAUAUCAAUUUACCAUGAAAAGGUUUAUGUGCCUACUGAGUUGUGGUUUCGCUAACCCCCUAACAAAUUUUGCAAGUACUAAACCUGAAAUUUAGGACUUGUGAUGAUUUUGGCUUGUUUAUAGAGUGCAUUGUAUGCAUAGCUUGUGGUUGAAUAAUGAGCUACUCUUUUAAUGAACUCUUGAGUAAUUCUAACUUGUAAAAUAAAUGUAAAAAUGUAAGAUUUCGGAUGUUGUUGUUUCCGUUGAAUAUUCUAUGUGAAAUAUUUAUUUAUUUAAAUGUUCUUCACAUUUUAGUUAUAUCUUUUAUUAAAUUCUAUAAUUAAAGUGUGAAUCACGUCUUAAUCCAAAAUUACGUAAAUCCGUGGAUUGGGGUGUGACAACUUUAGCAGACAAAGGCGUAUUAACAAAUUUUUUUUUUUUUAAAUUACUCAGUUUCAGGAAUAAAUGGUUAAUUUGUAUUCUUUAUGUUUGAAGAUUAAUAAUGUUGACAAGUGUGUGCUUAAGAGAGGGUGUCUCCCUAUCAUGCCCCGGAUUCAAGGUACGGUGGAAAAAAAAAACCCCGGUGCCCUGUGUAUGAGGAAAUUGAAAAAAAAAAAAAAAGCUAAAAUAGGGUUUAAAAUAAACUUCUCUUAUAAAAAUAGCUUCAAAAUCAUACAAGAGUACAAGAAAUAAAUAAAGUUCUAUCACUCUUAUCUAAUUCAACUUCGGCUCACCUACCACCCGUCUUUUGGGUUUUACAAUUGCAAGGUCUAUAAAGGGGUGAGUAAAAUCACAGCUCAGUAGGGACAUAAACUUUUUCACAGUAAAUUGAUAUAACUAAAUUAAGUGACAUGCAAUCACAUAACAAAUGAAAGAUAAUAAUGCAUGAAUGAGCUUCAAUUCUACCCAAUCCAUUAAUCUAUAUAAUAUCAAAUUUGCAUGUUCCAUACCAUGCAUUUUACCACUGUAAUUCUGAAUGCUUCAUUAUAUAAACUAACACCCCAUCCCAAUCAUCCCAUAAUUCAUCUUUUGCUAGUCCUCUUGUCUAAGUCAUGAAUCUUCAAGCCCAAAUCACCAAAUCGACAAUUAUACCGCUAAUAUCCUAAUCUAAUGUGCACACAGGCUUGCCUGAACUUGGUCCCUACAAUGAUUAGACUCAACAACACAAAAGAUCCUUCCCAUUAUCCUCUUUUCCAUUAUUUCUUUAUUAAUCUGAGAAUUCCAACCAUCACCGAUAACAUAUGAACAUGUCAAUAUUAAUAAAAUAAUAUAAUGAUAAUUAACAACAUGUAAACACCCAAUAUCAAGAACGUUAAUCAAUUAAUAAUAUCAAGUAUAAUAUAGUUCUCACGAAAUUUAAUUAAAUCAAUUUUUAUAAAAGCUCCCCCAGAAACCCCCAACCUCGAUUCCAAAGCAUAACUCCAAAUUAGUAAAACACAAGCAAAGCUCUCUAUCUCCUCCAAUAUCAUAUUUCCUUGCAUCUCUCUUUCACUUUGUCUUAAAGAACUAUCAAAGAAUAUGAACGCAAGGCUGCCAGCUAUAAGCAGGAAAUGACAAUUGACAACCCACUAGGUGAUAGUGCUUGUAGGUUGACUAUAGUAAAGUGACGUGUCCAACAAUAGCAUGAUCAAAGUUGAUCAACUCAUAAACUUAGCAUUUAGUUUUGCAUGCAGGAGGUGAUAAGAGAAAGACGUAUCUAAAUAGUUUUGCAUGCUACGUAUUAUUAUAAAAGUAUAACAAACAAGUAAGUAUUAUUAUAAAAAUGAAAUAAUUUGACAAUACAUGCUUUGCACGUUGUAGAACUUAAAGAUAACACAACAUGCAUGUUUGCGUUGCGAAAUAAGGACCACCUAUAAUAUUGUGUUCCAGCUGCAAGUGGAUAAGGAUAACACAACAUGCAUGUUUGUCCUCUAGGGUUUCGUCUAGUACUAGUAGGGUCUUACCCAGUAUAUACUGAUUCUUUGUAAGUGGAUAUAAACCAUUUGUAUUUAUUCUUUGUAAGUCUAUAUAAACCAUUGUAUUGAUUCUUUGUCAAGCAAGGCACUUGUACAUUUUUCGAAAGCAUUUCAUUCUCCGACCGUCUCUCUCUCUCUCUCUCUCUCUCUCUCUCUCUCUCUCUCUCUCUCUCUCUCUCUCUCUCUCUCUCUCUCUCUCUCUUCUCUUACAUUACUGAAACUUUUCCAUCUCUCUCUCUCUCUCUUCUCUUACAUUACUGAAACUUUUCCAUUUCCAGCAAUCUUUUUUUUUUAGUCGACUUCUAAGCUCAUAAAAGAAAACCAUGAACGUUGAUUAUGGUCAUCACCCUCAGCAGUGGUCG